Molecule: non-coding RNA, 606 nt
Organism: Petromyzon marinus (sea lamprey)
Lineage: Eukaryota; Metazoa; Chordata; Hyperoartia; Petromyzontiformes; Petromyzontidae
Source: RefSeq, a predicted model, not a curated record
CAAUGUCUAUUAAUUAAUGUAUGUAUGCAUGUAUUUGUUAUUAAUUAAUUAACUCAUUCUAUAAAGCUUUCUUACAUUCAGUCGCGCGUUCACUCGGUCAUCCAUACAUUGGUUCACUUAUUGUUUCCUUCGGUCAGACAUUCGAUCAUCCUUCAAUCCAUCAUCCAUUCAUUCUUGGAUGGAGAAGCAUGCUGGGAGUGCCAGCACCAAGUGAUUGUUGGACUCCCAUCGAGAGUGUUUAGGUCGCUGCGCUCAGAACCCGGCGAGCCCGAGUUCGAUUUCCGCUCACGACCAAGACGAGUGGCGAUGAUUGGAACCCCAUCCUGGGCUUCCCCAAGGGUAGAGCCGCACCACCGAUUCGCACGGCUGGAGGCCCCGCACUGGCUUAGUCCGGCACUGCAGGAGACGGGAGACCCGUCCCAGGUUUAACGACUGCCGCGCCUCCGUCCCGGUGCGCUGCCCAUCGCGCUCCAUCGCUUCCGCGAUGUCUCCUUACGCCCGAUUGCCGCCUUCUCCCGGAGCCGCUUUCCUCACCGCUCCUCGCGCCUUGCGACUCUUCCGAUUCGUGGUGGCGCCGGGCUCGCCUGCGGCCUCGGGAUCGUCGCU